This 726-nucleotide ribosomal RNA is filed under the name Galerina sp. GM 18-04. RNAcentral's name for it is "eukaryotic LSU rRNA". The stretch from base 300 to 453 matches the Rfam family "5.8S ribosomal RNA". The record is from RNAcentral. Lineage: Eukaryota; Fungi; Basidiomycota; Agaricomycetes; Agaricales; Galerinaceae.
CUUGGUCAUUUAGAGGAAGUAAAAGUCGUAACAAGGUUUCCGUAGGUGAACCUGCGGAAGGAUCAUUAUUGAAUAAACCUGAUGUGGUUGUAGCUGGCCCUUUCGGGGGUAUGUGCACGCCCGUCAUCUUUAUCUUUUCACCUGUGCACUUUUUGUAGACCUGGAUGUAACAAUUUCCGAGGCAACUCGGUCGGGAGGAAUGCUGUCGGCUUUCCUUGCAUGUCCAGGCCUAUGUUUUCACAUACCCCAAAGAAUGUAACAGAAUGUAUCAUUGGGCCUUGUGCCUAUAAACUAUAUACAACUUUCAGCAACGGAUCUCUUGGCUCUCGCAUCGAUGAAGAACGCAGCGAAAUGCGAUAAGUAAUGUGAAUUGCAGAAUUCAGUGAAUCAUCGAAUCUUUGAACGCACCUUGCGCUCCUUGGUAUUCCGAGGAGCAUGCCUGUUUGAGUGUCAUUAAAUUCUCAACCUUACCAGCUUUUGUUGGUAAUGGCUUGGAUGUGGGGGUCUUUUGCUGGCUUCGUGAAGAGGUCUGCUCCCCUUAAAUGCAUUAGCCGGUGCCCUGCGUGGAUCCGUCUAUUGGUGUGAUAAUUAUCUACGCCGUGGACGUCUGCUUUAAAUGGGAUGCACUGCUUCUAACCGUCCGUUCAGUUGGACAAUCAAUGACAAUUUGACCUCAAAUCAGGUAGGACUACCCGCUGAACUUAAGCAUAUCAAUAAGCGGAGGAA